This 649-nucleotide non-coding RNA is filed under the name Trichomonas vaginalis G3. Its description in RNAcentral is "Eukaryotic small subunit ribosomal RNA". It matches the Rfam family "Eukaryotic small subunit ribosomal RNA", at positions 1 to 811 of the family's 1831-position model. Lineage: Eukaryota; Parabasalia; Trichomonadida; Trichomonadidae. The record is from Rfam by way of RNAcentral.
UACUUGGUUGAUCCUGCCAAGGAAGCACACUUAGGUCAUAGAUUAAGCCAUGCAAGUGUUAGUUCAGGUAACGAAACUGCGAAUAGCUCAUUAAUACGCUCAGAAUCUAUUUGGCGGCGACCAACAGGUCUUAAAUGGAUAGCAGCAGCAACUCUGGUGCUAAUACAUGCGAUUGUUUCUCCAGAUGUGAAUUAUGGAGGAAAAGUUGACCUCAUCAGAGGCACGCCAUUCGACUGAGUGACCUAUCAGCUUGUACUUAGGGUCUUUACCUAGGUAGGCUAUCACGGGUAACGGGCGGUUACCGUCGGACUGCCGGAGAAGGCGCCUGAGAGAUAGCGACUAUAUCCACGGGUAGCAGCAGGCGCGAAACUUUCCCACUCGAGACUUUCGGAGGAGGUAAUGACCAGUUCCAUUGGUGCCUUUUGGUACUGUGGAUAGGGGUACGGUUUUCCACCGUACCGAAACCUAGCAGAGGGCCAGUCUGGUGCCAGCAGCUGCGGUAAUUCCAGCUCUGCGAGUUUGCUCCCAUAUUGUUGCAGUUAAAACGCCCGUAGUUCUGAAUUGGCCAGCAAUGGUUCGUACGUAUUUUUACGUUCACUGUGAACAAAUCAGGACGCUUAGAGUAUGGCCACAUGAAUGACUCAGCGCA